Molecule: unclassified non-coding RNA, 336 nt
Filed under: Hevea brasiliensis (rubber tree)
Lineage: Eukaryota; Viridiplantae; Streptophyta; Magnoliopsida; Malpighiales; Euphorbiaceae
Source: RNAcentral
UACCAUUCCGUAUUUGAGAUUGAAAGGGCAUCCAUGUUGCUGUUGGGCUAGGCAUUGAUAGUCCAGACCCAACUAGUGCACUGUCGAACAGGACAUGAUCGACGUCGUCUAUGUGAGGGCUCAGGCUACUAGACGAGUUGUUCCUCUUCCAAUUCUUCUAUAAAAGUUGCUGGUUGAGGUGCGGGCUAAGGAGGUGGCAUCUGGCAAAGCUAACUUUCUUGCUUUAGAGCAUUCAUCAUACUCCUCAGUGUACGCUUAACUUGUGCCACAUUUUCAAUUAAUGGAUUCUCUAAUUUUAACAAACAAUCAUCGAUUUCGUCCUUAAAGUGGGAGUGG